GCAAAACAUAGCUUAUUUAAAGCCUCUUGCUUACACCAAGAAAACUGUUUUUUCACCAAAACUGUUUUGAU
RNAcentral lists this transfer RNA (71 nucleotides) under Eleutherodactylus riparius. RNAcentral describes it as "transfer RNA-Val". Lineage: Eukaryota; Metazoa; Chordata; Amphibia; Anura; Eleutherodactylidae. The record is from RNAcentral.